Molecule: ribosomal RNA, 643 nt
Filed under: Latilactobacillus sakei
Lineage: Bacteria; Bacillati; Bacillota; Bacilli; Lactobacillales; Lactobacillaceae
Description: bacterial SSU rRNA
Rfam family: Bacterial small subunit ribosomal RNA
Source: RNAcentral
UAACUGAUCAGGUAGUGACGGUAUCCAACCAGAAAGCCACGGCUAACUACGUGCCAGCAGCCGCGGUAAUACGUAGGUGGCAAGCGUUGUCCGGAUUUAUUGGGCGUAAAGCGAGCGCAGGCGGUUUCUUAAGUCUGAUGUGAAAGCCUUCGGCUCAACCGAAGAAGUGCAUCGGAAACUGGGAAACUUGAGUGCAGAAGAGGACAGUGGAACUCCAUGUGUAGCGGUGAAAUGCGUAGAUAUAUGGAAGAACACCAGUGGCGAAGGCGGCUGUCUGGUCUGUAACUGACGCUGAGGCUCGAAAGCAUGGGUAGCAAACAGGAUUAGAUACCCUGGUAGUCCAUGCCGUAAACGAUGAGUGCUAGGUGUUGGAGGGUUUCCGCCCUUCAGUGCCGCAGCUAACGCAUUAAGCACUCCGCCUGGGGAGUACGACCGCAAGGUUGAAACUCAAAGGAAUUGACGGGGGCCCGCACAAGCGGUGGAGCAUGUGGUUUAAUUCGAAGCAACGCGAAGAACCUUACCAGGUCUUGACAUCCUUUGACCACUCUAGAGAUAGAGCUUUCCCUUCGGGGACAAAGUGACAGGUGGUGCAUGGUUGUCGUCAGCUCGUGUCGUGAGAUGUUGGGUUAAGUCCCGCAACGAG